Long non-coding RNA from Medicago truncatula (barrel medic), 366 nucleotides. RefSeq lists it as uncharacterized. Lineage: Eukaryota; Viridiplantae; Streptophyta; Magnoliopsida; Fabales; Fabaceae. The transcript has 2 exons. The record is from RefSeq and is a predicted model, not a curated record.
UGAUAGGUGGACUAUCUAUAAUGGAAUUUUGGUACCUGAGAGACUUCAGUGUUGCGCAGAAGAUAUGUCCCCUUGGAGAUGCAAUAAUUCUAAACUCUACAAAUGUCGGGCUCAUUCCAAGAGGUUUGGUAUCAGAAAGACCCUAGGGAUAUGAUUCAGCGUGCGAUUUCCCACGCAAGCACCACACCUGACACCAUAUUUGAUCAAGAAGAGAGAAAGAACGCGGGUGAAAAGAAUGACUAAUAUCGUAUUUGUUUAUUUUUUAUUUGUUUUCCCUUCGGCUGACUGUAUUCACUGAUGUGAACAAUGUUUGUUGUAAAGAGCACUAAUAUUACGAAAUUGUCACCGCGUUUAUCUUUUCCCUCA